UACGGAGGGGGCUAGCGUUGUUCGGAGUUACUGGGCGUAAAGCGCGCGCAGGCGGCGGUGUUGGCCCGGCGUGAAAGCCCCCGGCUCAACCGGGGAGGGUCGUCGGGGACCGCACCGCUUGAGGGCGGUAGGGGCUGGUGGAAUGCCUGGUGUAGUGGUGAAAUGCGUAGAGAUCAGGCGGAACACCUGUGGCGAAGGCGGCCAGCUGGGCCGUCCCUGACGCUGAGGCGCGAAGGCGUGGGGAGCGAACGGG
Molecule: ribosomal RNA, 253 nt
Filed under: uncultured bacterium
Lineage: Bacteria
Description: partial 16S ribosomal RNA
Rfam family: Bacterial small subunit ribosomal RNA
Source: RNAcentral